RNAcentral lists this ribosomal RNA (508 nucleotides) under uncultured Leptodontidium. RNAcentral's name for it is "SSU rRNA". It matches the Rfam family "Eukaryotic small subunit ribosomal RNA", at positions 39 to 549 of the family's 1831-position model. Lineage: Eukaryota; Fungi; Ascomycota. The record is from RNAcentral.
AAAGAUUAAGCCAUGCAUGUCUAAGUAUAAGCAAUCUAUACGGUGAAACUGCGAAUGGCUCAUUAAAUCAGUUAUCGUUUAUUUGAUAGUACCUAACCUACUUGGAUAACCGUGGUAAUUCUAGAGCUAAUACAUGCUAAAAACCUCGACUUCGGAAGGGGUGUAUUUAUUAGAUAAAAAACCAAUGCCCUUCGGGGCUCCUUGGUGAUUCAUAAUAACUCAACGAAUCGCAUGGCCUUGCGCCGGCGAUGGUUCAUUCAAAUUUCUGCCCUAUCAACUUUCGAUGGUAGGAUAGUGGCCUACCAUGGUGUUAACGGGUAACGGGGAAUUAGGGUUCUAUUCCGGAGAGGGAGCCUGAGAAACGGCUACCACAUCCAAGGAAGGCAGCAGGCGCGCAAAUUACCCAAUCCCGACACGGGGAGGUAGUGACAAUAAAUACCUGAUACAGGGCCUCUUUCGGGUCUUGUAAUUGGAAUGAGUACAAUUAAAUCCCUAACGAGAAAUCAGG